RNAcentral lists this ribosomal RNA (253 nucleotides) under uncultured bacterium. RNAcentral's name for it is "partial 16S ribosomal RNA". It matches the Rfam family "Bacterial small subunit ribosomal RNA", at positions 524 to 776 of the family's 1533-position model. The record is from RNAcentral.
GACGGAGGAUGCAAGCGUUAUCCGGAAUGAUUGGGCGUAAAGCGUCCGCAGGUGGCAGUUCAAGUCUGCUGUCAAAGACCGGGGCUUAACUUCGGAAAGGCAGUGGAAACUGAACAGCUAGAGUAUGGUAGGGGCAGAGGGAAUUCCUGGUGUAGCGGUGAAAUGCGUAGAGAUCAGGAAGAACAUCGGUGGCGAAGGCGGUCUGCUGGGCCGUUGCUGACGCUGAGGCGCGACAGCGUGGGGAGCAAACAGG